Molecule: long non-coding RNA, 1033 nt
Filed under: Octopus vulgaris (common octopus)
Lineage: Eukaryota; Metazoa; Mollusca; Cephalopoda; Octopoda; Octopodidae
Source: RNAcentral
GAAUAUCUACGGCUGCAGACACCAGUGGUACCUCUCUUCGGCAACAUCAGCAGCCGCUGCCUGAUGUUACUACAAGACCGCUUCUUUUUCUAUCGACUCCGUAGCUAGGCAACAAGUGUGUGCGAACAGCUGAAAAAGAAAUGCCACAUCGAAGUAGAGAACAUGUUAUUCGCAUCAGACAGAAGAAGAAAUAAGCAAAAGUUUAUUGCUGGAAUAUUUAAAACGGAAAGCAAAAGCAAAGAGAAGAAAACAGAUGUGAUCUAUACCAACUCAGAAGAACAGGAUAUAACAUCGUUAUUUUCAUCACCAUCAACACAAUCGGCUUUAUUAUUACUAGUAUUAAUAUAUGUGUUUUUAUUAACAGCACCGAGUAGAAAUUGUGUACAGCGAAAGACAUAAUCAAUGAAAAAAGAAAGGAAGACUCCAAAAUAGAAUAAAGAAAAGAUUAAAACUAAAACAGAGAGAAGACAAGAAAACAAAAACAAACAGACAUUAAACUAACAAGGAAAUAUUAAGAUUUUUCGUAACAUUUUCAUACAAAUGAAUUUUAAUUAUUCAUUCAUUUAUAUGUACAUAUUGUGUAAUUUCGAUCAGGUUUUACAUCAGAUUCCGAAUUAAAUGAUAGAAUAAAUAUGAAAUUAGCCUGGCAACGUUAAUGGACAACAUGGCUAAAUAGAUUAUCUAUUGGAUAAAUCCAGGAAAAAUACCUAACAAUCAAGAUUUAUAAAUACUCACACGCGCACACAUAUUUGUCUUUCGUUCUUUCAUAAGAAACACCGAGGCAAUUUAAUCAAAGAAACUUGACACCUGCAACUAAGUAACAAAAUGUAAGUAGAUGUCUGUAGAUAUAUAUUUGUUUGUAAUGUCAGUCGCAAAAAUGAAGGAAAAAAAAAGACAAUCAGUAAACAGAAAAAAAAAUGUAAAACAGAGAAGAAAAAAGCGUGAAAUAUAAGUUUGUGAUUAUGCUAAUAAAUGCUUGCCACUUGCUGAAAGAAAUAUUAUUACUUUAUUUAAUUCCGACUUAGAAUCGCGU